This 377-nucleotide ribosomal RNA is filed under the name Lamproderma arcyrioides. RNAcentral describes it as "SSU rRNA". It matches the Rfam family "Bacterial small subunit ribosomal RNA", at positions 570 to 930 of the family's 1533-position model. The record is from RNAcentral. Lineage: Eukaryota; Evosea; Eumycetozoa; Stemonitida; Stemonitidae.
CGUAGGCGGAAAUUUCAGCAUAGAGUAAAAAACUGAGGAAGACCCUCUUUAAUCUCUAUCUACUGAUUUUCUUGAGUUCUGAUGGCGAAGUUGAACUCUUUAAGUAGGAGUAAAAUCGUUGAUAUCUAGAGGACAUCAAAGGCGAAAGCGAUAAUGAGUUAGAUUGACGCUAAGGUACUAAAGUAUGGGUAUGAAAAGGAUUAGAGACCUUGUAGUCCAUACCUUAAACAAUGAGAAUUCAACGUCCGUAAGAUACUAAAUGGACUCUGUCUAUUUUAUGAAACUUAUUGGGGGUUUAAAGCUAACGCGUGAAAUUCCGCCUGGGGAAUGUGGCCGCAAGGUUAAACUCAAAGGAAUUGACGGAGGCUUGUACAAGG